CUCACGACCGUAGUCAGCCUGAAGGCGCCCGGUCCACAACAAGGAGUCGUUAGAGAGUGAUGCCGCAGCACAACGAUGAAGUGCCUUAGAACGCUGCGCCACUCGGGAGACAAUUUCAUGAGCUAUUCUAAUGCAGCCGUCUGACUGGAUCCUGAUGAUUUCCUCCAGUGCCUCGGCUGACGUGCUAGGAUUCGUUUUCUGUGUCUCGAGCAAGCAGCUCUGGGAAAGUGAAAGGGUCGGGAGCACCGGAACAUGACCUCCCCGCCGCCUAGCUUCAGCGUGUGUGAGCUGUGGGCUGCAGGAAUCCCCGGUGAAAGCAACAAGAUGAAAGUCUUCCACCAAAAGCAAAGCUCGGCCCAAAGUUUGAGGGCAAGUGCCAGGGGGAGAGAGUCUUCUCCAGGAAUUUACGACCUGAGAUAACAGAACCUGGGUGUAGGAGAGAGAGAGAGGGGGGGGGGCACAGUCUAUACCCAGAAAGGGCCACGUCAUGACAAU
Molecule: long non-coding RNA, 495 nt
Organism: Salvelinus fontinalis (brook trout)
Lineage: Eukaryota; Metazoa; Chordata; Actinopteri; Salmoniformes; Salmonidae
Exons: 3
Source: RefSeq, a predicted model, not a curated record